This 21-nucleotide microRNA is filed under the name Oreochromis niloticus (Nile tilapia). Its description in RNAcentral is "oni-miR-10791". Lineage: Eukaryota; Metazoa; Chordata; Actinopteri; Cichliformes; Cichlidae. The record is from miRBase by way of RNAcentral.
UACAAUUUUAUCUCUGGACCU